UACGUAGGGUCCGAGCGUUGUCCGGAAUUAUUGGGCGUAAAGGGCUCGUAGGCGGUUUGUCGCGUCGGGAGUGAAAACUCAGGGCUCAACCCUGAGCGUGCUUCUGAUACGGGCAGACUAGAGGUAUUCAGGGGAGAACGGAAUUCCUGGUGUAGCGGUGGAAUGCGCAGAUAUCAGGAGGAACACCGGUGGCGAAGGCGGUUCUCUGGGAAUUACCUGACGCUGAGGAGCGAAAGCAUGGGGAGCGAACAGG
Molecule: ribosomal RNA, 253 nt
Filed under: uncultured bacterium
Lineage: Bacteria
Description: partial 16S ribosomal RNA
Rfam family: Bacterial small subunit ribosomal RNA
Source: RNAcentral